GGCCCUUCUCCUUUGCACCUCGUGCAGUGCUGUUAUGUUGAGCAUCCCGUGGUACUUAAAAGCCAAAUGACCAUUUGUAAUUUUUUGGACACAAGGGUGUUCAAAGCUGAAAUGAAGAGCCACACAUAGGGUGCAACAUUUAUUUAUUCACGCUUGUCUUUUCUUCUUGAAAACAAUGUGAAUUCCAAACACCUCGCAAUGUAAUUUUCAUCUUUUGAGACCUGAUCCAGCGUUCAUGAAGGACAAAAUAAUGAUGUGACAAAGUUAUUACAGAUUAAAGAGUUGAGUUAAAACAUACUCUUGGAACGAGGGAGGGAGGUUUAAGAAAGAAAGCCGUUUCAAAUAAGUGACCAACUAGAGUUCCGUGACAGGCACAAGUGCUCCAGCGAAGAGUCUAUGGGCUGGGAUGAUGGCAGGUGGAAUUCCGCCCAAGAUACAGACGUAAAGAUGACUGGCUCCAGGGCCCUCGAAGAAAGCCUCUACUCGGAGAGCCUCCGAACAGACACAUCGCCUUUCUAACAACUGCACCUGGAGCACAAAGGCACCCUCCCGUCACUUUGAUUAGUCAACCUAACUUCCUCAGUUUCCGCCUAGUCUUCGCUAUUACCCCAGGAACUAGAAACUCGUCCAAACUCCACUCUGGACGCUGCAGAGAGAUGAAGCUCGAUUACACAUUCAGCACAGCGUCCUCAGCUCUUCCUCUCACGGGUUUUAGUCUUUAACAGGCACCAACGCAGACACAACCUCAAAACCUACCUACCCAUCAGCUGGGCGGCCGGCCCCACCGCCGGCCAGUUACCUGCAGGGCUCGGCACUCCCGCCCACUCUCAAGGCCCCCGGGAGCUGUCCCUCUGCUGAUCCCGGCGCACCCCAAAAACCCCGCGGUGCACAGCCCGCCUCCUCGCUCCACCGGCGACAGCGCCGCCGGUCCUUCCACCCUGCGGGAAGGGGAGGAGGAGAGGUCGGCUGUCACGCAAGCCCUCGCAAGCAGGCGCCGGGCACAAGGAAAAAGGCUGCCCAGAACGGCCGGCUCGCACCCGGCCUUCCGACCC
RNAcentral lists this long non-coding RNA (1052 nucleotides) under Cricetulus griseus (Chinese hamster). RNAcentral describes it as "lncRNA (ENSCGRG00015041942.1)". Lineage: Eukaryota; Metazoa; Chordata; Mammalia; Rodentia; Cricetidae. The record is from RNAcentral.